Molecule: ribosomal RNA, 254 nt
Filed under: uncultured bacterium
Lineage: Bacteria
Description: partial 16S ribosomal RNA
Rfam family: Bacterial small subunit ribosomal RNA
Source: RNAcentral
UACAGAGGUCUCAAGCGUUGUUCGGAUUCAUUGGGCGUAAAGGGUGCGUAGGCGGCGCGGUAAGUCGGGUGUGAAAACUCUGGGCUCAACCCAGAGCCGCCACCCGAUACUGCUGUGACUUGAGUGCGGUAGGGGAGCGGGGAAUUCCUGGUGUAGCGGUGAAAUGCGCAGAUAUCAGGAGGAACACCAGUGGCGAAGGCGCCGCUCUGGGCCGUGACUGACGCUGAGGAGCGAAAGCGUGGGUAGCAAACAGG